GUAGGGUGCAAGCGUUGUCCGGAAUUAUUGGGCGUAAAGAGCUCGUAGGCGGUCUGUCGCGUCGGCUGUGAAAACCCGUGGCUCAACCACGGGCCUGCAGUCGAUACGGGCAGACUAGAGUGCGGUAGGGGAGACUGGGAUUCCUGGUGUAGCGGUGAAAUGCGCAGAUAUCAGGAGGAACACCGGUGGCGAAGGCGGGUCUCUGGGCCGUAACUGACGCUGAGGAGCGAAAGCGUGGGGAGCGAACAGGAUUAGAUACCCUGGUAGUCCACGCCGUAAACGUUGGGCGCUAGGUGUCGGGGACCUUCCACGUCCUCGGUGCCGCAGCUAACGCAUUAAGCGCCCCGCCCGGGGAGUACGGCCGCAAGGCUA
This 372-nucleotide ribosomal RNA is filed under the name uncultured bacterium. Its description in RNAcentral is "bacterial SSU rRNA". It matches the Rfam family "Bacterial small subunit ribosomal RNA", at positions 527 to 896 of the family's 1533-position model. The record is from RNAcentral.